RNAcentral lists this long non-coding RNA (1588 nucleotides) under Citrus x clementina. RNAcentral's name for it is "Citrus clementina (C. clementina) long non-coding RNA (CCLE_LNC005016)". Lineage: Eukaryota; Viridiplantae; Streptophyta; Magnoliopsida; Sapindales; Rutaceae. The record is from RNAcentral.
UGGCCAUUUUUCCGCUGGGGGGUCUUGGGACCCCGAACUUCGGGGGCUGUUUUUUGGGUGUGGCUGUUCCCAUGGCCUAUUUUUGGCACACGGAGGCCUACCGCCAAGUCUGGUGCCAUUCCGAGUCCCGCGGACGAACUUCGCCCACGCCCCCCACCAAGGCUAUAGCCCACCCGUUUUUUGGCCAUUUUUCCGCUGGGGGGUCUUGGGACCCCGACCUUCGGGGGCUGUUUUUUGGGCGCGGCUGUGCCCGUGGCCUAUUUUUGGCACACGGAGGCCGCCCGUCAAGUCUGGUGCUAUUCCGAGUCCCGCGGACGAACUUCGCCCACGCCCCCCACCAAGGCUAUAGCCCACCCGUUUUUUGGCCAUUUUUCCGCUGGGGGGUCUUGGGACCCCGACCUUCGGGGGCUGUUUUUUGGGCGCGGCUGUGCCCGUGGCCUAUUUUUGGCACACGGAGGCCGCCCGUCAAGUCUGGUGCUAUUCCGAGUCCCGCGGACGAACUUUGCCCACGCCCCCCACCAAGGCUAUAGCCCACCCGUUUUUUGGCCAUUUUUCCGCUGGGGAGUCUUGGGACCCCGACCUUCGGGGGCUGAUUUUUGGGCGCGGCUGUGCCCGUGGCCUAUUUUUGGCACACGGAGGCAGCCCGCCAAGUCUGGUCCCAUUCCGUGUCCCGCGGACGAACUUCGCCCACGUCCCCCACCAAGGCUAUAGCCCACCCGUUUUUUGGCCAUUUUUCCGCUGGGGGAUCUUGGGACCCCGAACUUUGGGGGCUGUUUUUUGGGCGUGGCUGUGCCCAUGGCCAAUUUUUGGCACACGGAGGCCUACCGCCAAGUCUGGUGCCAUUCCGAGUCUCGUGGACGAACUUCGCCCACGCCACCCACCAAGGCUAUAGCCCACCCGUUUUUUGGCCAUAUAGCCUUGCUGGGGGGUCUUGGCACCCCGACCUUCGGGGGCUGAUUUUUGGGCGCGGCUGUGCCCGUGGCCUAUUUUUGGCGCACGGAGACCGCCCGCAAAGUCUGGGGCCAUUCCGAGUCCGGCGGACGAACUUCGCCCACGCCCCCCACCAAGGCUAUAGCCCACCCGUUUUUUGGCCAUAUAGCCUUGCUGGGGGGUCUUGGCACCCCGACCUUCGGGGGCUGAUUUUUGGGCGCGGCUGUGCCCGUGGCCUAUUUUUGGCGCACGGAGACCGCCCGCAAAGCCUGGGGCCAUUCCGAGUCCGGCGGACGAACUUCGCCCGCGCCCCCCACCAAGGCUAUAGCACACCCGUUUUUUGGCCAUAUAGCCUUGCUGGGGGGUCUUGGCACCCCGACCUUCGGGGGCUGAUUUUUGGGCGCGGCUGUGCCCGUGGCCUAUUUUUGGCGUACGGAGGCCGCCCGCAAAGUCUGGGGCCAUUCCGAGUCCGGCGGACGAACUUCGCCCGCGCCCCCCACCAAGGCAAUAGCCCACCCGUUUUUUGGCCAUUUUUCCGCUGGGGGUCUUGGCACCCCGACCUUCGGGGGCUGAUUUUUGGGCGCGGCUGUGCCCGUGGCCUAUUUUUGGCACACGGAGGCCGCCCGCAAAGUCUGGGGCCAUUCCCAGUCCGGUGGAC